RNAcentral lists this small RNA (623 nucleotides) under Pan troglodytes (chimpanzee). RNAcentral's name for it is "retained intron". Lineage: Eukaryota; Metazoa; Chordata; Mammalia; Primates; Hominidae. The record is from RNAcentral.
CGACCACAGGAGGGAGAAGGGCAAGAUGCUCGCUCCAACCGUGGCCGUGUUCUCUCCUUCUGUCCCCACAGUGUGACUCCGCCAGGAACUUGGAAUGGCUGAAGACUGUGAAUGAGAGUCAUGGGUCUGUGGAACGCUCAUCCCUGACCCUGGCCACGGCCAUCAACCAAAGAGGCAUCUAUGUGAUCCAGGCACCCAAAGGUGGCCAAAAGAUUUCCCCAGACACGGUUCUGCACUUGAUCCUUCCUGAGAGCCCUGGCAGCCACGAGGAGUCGCGAGAGUACUCUUUAGAGGAGGUGAAGGAGCUUUUGAACAAGUUGAUGCUGAUGUCUGGCAAGAAGGAUCGUAACAACACGGAAGUGGAGAGGUUUUCAGAGGUCUUCUGCAGUGUGCAGAGGCUCAGCCAGGCCUUCAUCGACCUGCACUCUGCUGGGAAUAUGCUGUUCAGGACGUGGAUCGCCAUGGCCUACUGCUCCCCCAAGCAGGGUGUGUCCCUCCAAAUGGACUUUGGCUUGGACCUGGUGACGGAGCUUAAAGAAGGUGGAGAUGUCACUGAGCUGCUGGCAGCCCUCUGCAGGCAGAUGGAGCACUUCCUUGACAGCUGGAAGAGAUUCGUGACCGAG